Molecule: long non-coding RNA, 251 nt
Filed under: Callithrix jacchus (white-tufted-ear marmoset)
Lineage: Eukaryota; Metazoa; Chordata; Mammalia; Primates; Cebidae
Description: lncRNA (ENSCJAG00000062035.2)
Source: RNAcentral
GGAGUCAGCACCAUGAAAACUCUCUCUCUUCUCUUCACCUAGUCAGUUUAUUCUCCCAAGUCAGCAAUCAAGGUGAUGGUUCCACUGAGUUCAAGUGCCCAUGCCAAAACCAGCCGCUAUAACAAGCCUCUUGUCUCUGGUUCCAGCCUUGGGAGGUCUGUCCUGGUACCUUAUCUUCUGUGAGUAUUGAAGACUGAACCAGACUUGGGGAUCUAUACAACUUCCAGAAACUCUUUCCUGCUGGUGCCAGU